Molecule: ribosomal RNA, 429 nt
Filed under: Bacteroidota bacterium
Lineage: Bacteria; Pseudomonadati; Bacteroidota
Description: Bacteroidetes bacterium partial 16S ribosomal RNA
Rfam family: Bacterial small subunit ribosomal RNA
Source: RNAcentral
UAGGGAAUCUUCCGCAAUGGACGCAAGUCUGACGGAGCAACGCCGCGUGAGUGAAGAAGGAUUUCGGUUCGUAAAACUCUGUUGUUAGAGAAGAACAGCGCAUAGAGUAACUGUUAUGCGUGUGACGGUAUCUAACCAGAAAGCCACGGCUAACUACGUGCCAGCAGCCGCGGUAAUACGUAGGUGGCAAGCGUUGUCCGGACUUAUUGGGCGUAAAGCGAGCGCAGGCGGUCAAUUAAGUCUGAUGUGAAAGCCCCCGGCUCAACCGGGGAGGGUCAUUGGAAACUGGUUGACUUGAGGGCAGAAGGGGAGAGUGGAAUUCCAUGUGUAGCGGUGAAAUACGACGAUAUAUGGAGGAACACCAGUGGCGAAGGCGACUCUCUGGACUGUAACUGACGCUGAGGCUCGAAAGCGUGGGUAGCAAACAGG